UUGGAGGGCAAGUCUGGUGCCCGCAGCCGCGGUAAUUCCAGCUCCAAUAGCGUAUAUUAAAGUUGUUGCAGUUAAAAAGCUCGUAGUUGAAUUUCGGGGUUAGUAGGUUGGUCAUGCCUCUGGUAUGUACUGGUCUCACUGAUUCCUCCUUCCUGAUGAGCCGUAAUGCCAUUAAUUUGGUGUUGCGGGGAAUUUGGACUGUUACUUUGAAAAAAUUAGAAUGUUUAAAGCAAGCUAACGCUUGAAUACAUUAGCAUGGAAUAAUGAAAUAGGACGUUCGAUCCUAUUUUGUUGGUUUCUAGGAUUGACGUAAUGAUUAAUAGGGAUAGUUGGGGGCAUUAGUAUUCAAUUGUCAGAGGUGAAAUUCUUGGAUUUAUUGAAGACUAACUACUGCGAAAGCAUUUGCCAAGGAUGUUUUCAUUAAUCAAGAACGAAAGUUAGGGGAUCGAGGACGAUCAGAUACCGUCGUAGUCUUAACCAUAAACUAUGCCGACUAGGGAUCGGAUGAUGUUAAUUUUUUAAUGACUCAUUCGGCGCCUUACGGGAAAC
This 549-nucleotide ribosomal RNA is filed under the name uncultured Glomeromycotina. RNAcentral's name for it is "SSU rRNA". It matches the Rfam family "Eukaryotic small subunit ribosomal RNA", at positions 548 to 1098 of the family's 1831-position model. The record is from RNAcentral. Lineage: Eukaryota; Fungi; Glomeromycota.